UACAGAGGGUGCGAGCGUUAAUCGGAAUUACUGGGCGUAAAGCGUGCGCAGGCGGUUCGUUGUGUCGGCGGUGAAAGCCCCGGGCUCAACCUGGGAAUGGCCGUUGAAACUGGCGAACUGGAGUGUGGCAGAGGGGGGUGGAAUUCCGCGUGUAGCAGUGAAAUGCGUAGAGAUGCGGAGGAACACCGAUGGCGAAGGCAAUCCCCUGGACCUGUACUGACGCUCAUGCACGAAAGCGUGGGGAGCAAACAGG
This 253-nucleotide ribosomal RNA is filed under the name uncultured bacterium. Its description in RNAcentral is "partial 16S ribosomal RNA". It matches the Rfam family "Bacterial small subunit ribosomal RNA", at positions 524 to 776 of the family's 1533-position model. The record is from RNAcentral.